UAGAGUUUGAUCAUGGCUCAGAUUGAACGCUGGCGGCAGGCCUAACACAUGCAAGUCGAGCGGUAACAGGAAUUAGCUUGCUAAUUCGCUGACGAGCGGCGGACGGGUGAGUAAUGCCUGGGAAUAUGCCUUGAUGUGGGGGAUAACUAUUGGAAACGAUAGCUAAUACCGCAUAAUGUCUUCGGACCAAAGAGGGGGAUCUUCGGACCUCUCGCGUCAAGAUUAGCCCAGGUGAGAUUAGCUAGUUGGUGGGGUAAGAGCUCACCAAGGCGACGAUCUCUAGCUGGUCUGAGAGGAUGAUCAGCCACACUGGAACUGAGACACGGUCCAGACUCCUACGGGAGGCAGCAGUGGGGAAUAUUGCACAAUGGGCGAAAGCCUGAUGCAGCCAUGCCGCGUGUAUGAAGAAGGCCUUCGGGUUGUAAAGUACUUUCAGCGAGGAGGAAAGGUUGUGAAUUAAUACUUCAUAGCUGUGACGUUACUCGCAGAAGAAGCACCGGCUAACUCCGUGCCAGCAGCCGCGGUAAUACGGAGGGUGCGAGCGUUAAUCGGAAUUACUGGGCGUAAAGCGCAUGCAGGUGGUCUGGUCAGUCAGAUGUGAAAGCCCCGGGCUCAACCUGGGAAUUGCAUUUGAUACUGCCAGACUAGAGUCCUGUAGAGGGGGGUAGAAUUUCA
RNAcentral lists this ribosomal RNA (675 nucleotides) under uncultured Vibrionaceae bacterium. RNAcentral's name for it is "bacterial SSU rRNA". It matches the Rfam family "Bacterial small subunit ribosomal RNA", at positions 1 to 671 of the family's 1533-position model. The record is from RNAcentral. Lineage: Bacteria; Pseudomonadati; Pseudomonadota; Gammaproteobacteria; Vibrionales; Vibrionaceae.